Long non-coding RNA from Cygnus olor (mute swan), 3202 nucleotides. RefSeq lists it as uncharacterized. The record is from RefSeq and is a predicted model, not a curated record. Lineage: Eukaryota; Metazoa; Chordata; Aves; Anseriformes; Anatidae. The transcript is spliced from 3 exons.
CUGGCCAAGGCUGGUACCAGUUUUGGUGCUGGGGACCCAUUGCUGGAGGAUGUUUCCUCCACAUAGCCACUCCAGCUGUGACAGCUGUAACAUAGCUGGGGCACAAAGGAGACCCCCACAGAGCCACCCCAAUGCCAGCACUGCUUCAGUGGGAUCACUGUGGAGAGUCAGAGGAGGAUGCUGUCAGGGCAAGGCUAGUCUUGUCAUGGUCCUUGCCCUGGGCAGGACUUUGCUUUGCCUUUCCUCUCCUUCCCUGUUCUGCAGGCUUUCAGGAGCCAGCAGCCAUGCCUCUGCUGCUCUGCCCCAGCAGCCUGCCUGGCUGCCUGAGCACCGUACUGGAGGCAUGGGGAGCUGCACAGAUGGGGAGUGAAGCAGAAUGAUCCCAGAUGUAUUUGCUGAUGCACAGCUGGGUCUGCAGCAGGUGUGAACAUCAGGGCUCAGCAUACGGCAGCAGUGGGUGUGAGACAGCAGAAAUCCUGAUGAUAAUGCUGAUGUCCUCCCUGCACAGGCUGGCACAACGUUUUGGGUCACUAACUCUGAACACCUGUGUGAAACAUGCUUUUAAAUACUUCUGGAGAAGGCUCACCUGUUGCUUUCUCCUAUCACUUGCUAGGCCAGAGGGUGCUGCAGGCCUGAGUCUUCUCAGCCUGAAGAGGAAUUUGAAUUCAGGGGUCUCAACUUGUGCUCUGUGCACAUCCCAGUUACGUAAAUGGGGGGCGGGAAGGAUGUCUCUUUCCUUCUCUAAAAGAAAAGUAACCUUAAUUUUGGAGUGUGAACUUCUUGGUGAGAAGCCUUCUCCAAGCAUGCCUUGCCUCUUCUGGGAUUCAAGAGACUGGUGUCCAGUUUGACUGCCCCCCUUGGUAUGAGAUGUUGUGAGAGUGGAAGUAGGAUCAGCAGUGGGGUCAUAAUUGCAAAGAGAGGAACUUAGGUACAAAAACUUGGAAACCUUUCUCUCCUCGUAAUCAGGAUUGUUGACCAUCAUGCAGGAAGUAAAUACCUCAUUUUUUUUCAAGGGGUGAAGUAUUGUCCAAAGCUCACAGAGGACCAAAAGCAAGAUAUAAACUGGGAAUAAACAGGGAAUUUGAAAAGAACCAAACAGGGGAAGUGGACAUUAAAAGCCUGGUUGAAUUUCCCACAUUUGUUGGAAGAGAAUAUUGAACAACCACAGGAUCCUAGACUGAGGGAGGAAGAAGAUAUAGGACCUAUAAAACAUGGUUAAUGUUCAUGGAAAAAGAAAGAAAUGUGAAGACAGGUGACUGAUGAAGUUUCUUGGGUAUUAACAGAGGAUGAUUCAGCAUGGAGAAGAGCAGCCAGGCUGUGGUCUGUCAUUUGCUGCUCUGAGCUGCCCCCAGGAAUUUUCCUCUUCGUCACUAUACUGAAAAUCUGAAAAAGCUGACUGAGGGAGUGAAAUGAAGGGAGACAACCUUCACAACCAGAACAUCACACUCCCAGGGACGGGGGAACAGACGCAGGUGCAGAUGCAGAUCUCCUCUUUUCUGUGCUGUGAUGUGGAGCCCACAUCUGGAGACAGGAGGGUGUGGAAGGAUCCCAGCUGUGAGGUGGGACUGUGCAGCCCUUCAAAUGUGGCCAGCUGGCCAGGGCUCAGUCCUGACAGAUGAGCUGCAGAGCAGGUAUGAAGCUGAAAUGCUGGGAAGCCACACAAGCGCCUGCUAUUCUGUAAUGCUGGGCCUGCCUGAGGGCAUAGAGAGCAAAAUGCUUUCCUAACAAAUAGUUUCACUGAGGUUUUAAACUGGAGACCGGCAAUGAUCCAAUAUACGUAGAGAAAACAUGCCAAAUACAAGCUGAAUUAUAAGAAACUAGGGGCUGGAUCUCCUCUAUCUGCAGUAUAUUUGAUCUAGGGGGCCACGCAGCACUGAUGCGGUAGAAGUCUCUUGACUUCUCCACAAGGAUUGGUCGAUCCAUGCAUCAUUCCUGGAGAAGAAAAAGCUGCAUUCCCUCUCGCUGCUGCAAAGCAGAUGAAUCCAGGAUUUCCUGGUCAGGAAGGACCAGGCGUUCUCCAAGACAAGCAGAAAUCUUUGGGCAUGCCUAAAAGCCAAACCAGUGGAAAAGAAAAAAAAAAUCAAUACUCUUUCCUGUCUGAGUUAUUUGCUGACAUUCCUGUGUCAUUCAAUCUUCCAACUGGCAUGUCAUAACCUAUUGUAGAAGUGUUGCGGCAGUUGAUAUGUUCUGGGAUGAAAAAGAAGGAUGUGUGUGGGGAGGUGAAGCAAAUGGGAAAGUGGACACAAGCACACAGUCCCUUCAUCAAGUGAAAUGAUACAUGACAUAAUGACCAGCAUAGGAUGUGAUAGUUAUGUUAUAAUACCUGCUAUAAUAGCCGUGGGAAAAAUAUAUUUUUAUUUUUGUUUUAUUUUAUUCUUAAACAAAUAAGGGCAGCUGUACUCAGCAAUGAUUGAAACUUCCUGUCUUCUCUGGUUUAUGUCUUCUACCAGUUGUUAUAUUUUAGCAUUUGGAACAAAAAGUGCUCAUAAACUGUGUGAGCAGCUAUUGUUUAAAUAUUUUAAAAUGAUUCCCAGUGAAGACUAGAAUGGCUGUGUCUCAAGAAAUGAUGUAAAAAUAAUAAAAGUAACAUAAGAAUAAUAUAUAGGAGAACAUUCAAUCUUCUCCCUAAAAAAGACUUUUUCCUUUUUUUUCCUGAAUGCAUAGCUCACUGAAGAAAGCAUUCAGUCCUUUUUCUUUUUUUUUUCCACUCUAGUCAAAGUGAAAAAAGAUUUUCAAAUUUGGAACUGAUGAGAAAACUAAUAACUGUACCUAUCUUCAGAACUGCCAUGGAAAUGCAACAUUUUGUCGGCACUUGAUGACUACUGUCCUGUGUAUGUAUUCAAAGGAGUGUUGGAGCUCCCAGGCUGAAGUAGACCAAUGCUGUUCUCCUUGAGUUUUUCUUUCACUAGUAAUAGCCAGCACCUAGUUCUCCUUUAGUCAUUAAGGCUCAUUUAACCUUCUUUCUUUAGGACUGAGUGUUCCUUUCAAAUGUAUGUUAUCAAUACCCACUGCUAGUUUAGGUACUACUGUUAUCUCUAUAAAUGUCUCCUCUCUUUCUUAGUUCUCCCUCAGUGAUAUUGUCUGGAAAUAAAUUCCACUAUGCAAAAAUAAAAUUCAAAGGGAAAGCAUGUCCUUUUACUGGCUUUGAAUUUGUUUUUACUGAAUUGCCUUUUUUUUUUAAUAAGGUGACCAAGGGGAUCCA